GUUAGCACGCCGUAUCACUUUGAAAACAUCGGUUCUCGUCCGAUCACCGAAGUUAAGCAAAGUUGAGCCUAGUUAGUACUUAGAUGGGUGACCGCUUGGGAAACCUAGGUGCUGUAAACA
Molecule: non-coding RNA, 120 nt
Organism: Octopus bimaculoides (California two-spot octopus)
Lineage: Eukaryota; Metazoa; Mollusca; Cephalopoda; Octopoda; Octopodidae
Source: Rfam